Molecule: ribosomal RNA, 216 nt
Filed under: Glomeromycotina sp.
Lineage: Eukaryota; Fungi; Glomeromycota
Description: partial small subunit ribosomal RNA
Rfam family: Eukaryotic small subunit ribosomal RNA (bases 40-216)
Source: RNAcentral
GGGUCAGUAGGUUGGUCGUGCCACCGGUACGUACUGGUCUCACUGAUUCCUCCUUCCUGAAGAACCGUAAUGUCAUUAAUUUGGUGUUGCGGGGAAACAGGACUGUUACUUUGAAAAAAUUAGAGUGUUUAAAGCAAGCUAACGCUUGAAUACAUUAGCAUGGAAUAAUGAACUAGGACGAUCGAUCCUAUUUUGUUGGUUUCUAGGAUUGACGUA